UACGGGAGGUAGCAGUGGGGAAUAUUGCACAAUGGACGCAAGCCUGAUGCAGCCAUGCCGCGUGUAUGAAGAAGGCCUUCGGGUUGUAAAGUACUUUCAGUCGUGAGGAAGGUGUUAAGGUUAAUAACCUUAGCAAUUGACGUUAGCGACAGAAGAAGCACCGGCUAACUCCGUGCCAGCAGCCGCGGUAAUACGGAGGGUGCGAGCGUUAAUCGGAAUUACUGGGCGUAAAGGGCACGCAGGCGGUUAAUUAAGUUGGAUGUGAAAUCCCCGGGCUUAACCUGGGAAUGGCAUUCAAGACUGGUUAGCUAGAGUCUUGUAGAGGGGGUAGAAUUCCAUGUGUAGCGGUGAAAUGCGUAGAGAUGUGGAGGAAUACCGGUGGCGAAGGCGGCCCCUGGACAAAGACUGACGCUCAUGUGCGAAAGCGUGGGGAGCAAACAGGGAUUUAGAUACC
This 454-nucleotide ribosomal RNA is filed under the name uncultured bacterium. RNAcentral's name for it is "bacterial SSU rRNA". It matches the Rfam family "Bacterial small subunit ribosomal RNA", at positions 340 to 786 of the family's 1533-position model. The record is from RNAcentral.